RNAcentral lists this ribosomal RNA (253 nucleotides) under uncultured bacterium. Its description in RNAcentral is "partial 16S ribosomal RNA". It matches the Rfam family "Bacterial small subunit ribosomal RNA", at positions 524 to 776 of the family's 1533-position model. The record is from RNAcentral.
UACGUAGGGCGCAAGCGUUGUCCGGAAUUAUUGGGCGUAAAGAGCUCGUAGGCGGUUUGUCGCGUCUGCUGUGAAAACUCGAGGCUCAACCUCGGGCUUGCAGUGGGUACGGGCAGACUAGAGUGCGGUAAGGGUGACUGGAAUUCCUGGUGUAGCGGUGGAAUGCGCAGAUAUCAGGAGGAACACCGAUGGCGAAGGCAGGUCACUGGGCCGCAACUGACGCUGAGGAGCGAAAGCAUGGGGAGCGAACAGG